RNAcentral lists this transfer RNA (84 nucleotides) under Polyangiaceae bacterium. RNAcentral describes it as "tRNA-OTHER". The record is from RNAcentral. Lineage: Bacteria; Pseudomonadati; Myxococcota; Polyangiales; Polyangiaceae.
GCGCCGCAUCGAAGCGGUCAUUCCCACGUAAAACAGCCUCGCACGCUGCUCGUUUGUUUGGGGGUUCGACUCCCUCUUGGUGCA